GCAGAUAUGGAGUAAUGGUAUCUCACGGCUCUGCUAAAGCCGCUUACCGAAAGGUAAUACAGGUUCGAGUCCUGUUAUCUGCG
This 83-nucleotide transfer RNA is filed under the name Siphoviridae sp. ctLqe90. Its description in RNAcentral is "tRNA-Ser". It matches the Rfam family "tRNA". From Rfam's summary of the family: Transfer RNA (tRNA) molecules are approximately 80 nucleotides in length. Their secondary structure includes four short double-helical elements and three loops (D, anti-codon, and T loops). The record is from RNAcentral. Lineage: Duplodnaviria; Heunggongvirae; Uroviricota; Caudoviricetes.